RNAcentral lists this unclassified non-coding RNA (214 nucleotides) under Hevea brasiliensis (rubber tree). The record is from RNAcentral. Lineage: Eukaryota; Viridiplantae; Streptophyta; Magnoliopsida; Malpighiales; Euphorbiaceae.
GAACCAGAUAAUACCAUUGGGGAACUCAAAGAGGCUGAGGCUAUUUGGAGUAAACUUGGAGUGCCAAAUCGAUGAAUCAGAGCCAUCUACAGCAGAUGGUUCGUCUUUAUCAAGCCAGGGUCCAACCCAACAGCAACUCUACAGCUUUUACUCUCAGCUUAUUCUUCUUCUUCAAAUAGCAGCCAUGGUCACAUGGAUAUAACUUUAUCAAGAG